AUUGAACGCUGGCGGCAGGCCUAACACAUGCAAGUCGAACAGUAACAGGAAGAAGCUUGCUUCUUUGCUGACGAGUGGCGGACGGGUGAGGAAUGUCUGGGAAACUGCCUGAUGGAGGGGGAUAACUACUGGAAACGGUAGCUAAUACCGCAUAACGUCGCAAGACCAAAGAGGGGGACCUUCGGGCCUCUUGCCAUCGGAUGUGCCCAGAUGGGAUUAGCUAGUAGGGGGGGUAACGGCUCACCUAGGCGACGAUCCCUAGCUGGUCUGAGAGGAUGAACAGCCACACUGGAACUGAGACACGGUCCAGACUCCUACGGGAGGCAGCAGUGGGGAAUAUUGCACAAUGGGCGCAAGCCUGAUGCAGCCAUGCCGCGUGUAUGAAGAAGGCCUUCGGGUUGUAAAGUACUUUCAGCGGGGAGGAAGGGAGUAAAGUUAAUACCUUCGCUCAUUGACGUUACCCGCAGAAGAAGCACCGGCUAACUACGUG
RNAcentral lists this ribosomal RNA (490 nucleotides) under uncultured bacterium. RNAcentral describes it as "partial 16S ribosomal RNA". It matches the Rfam family "Bacterial small subunit ribosomal RNA", at positions 30 to 507 of the family's 1533-position model. The record is from RNAcentral.